UUACAAGCUGGUCUCCAGGAAGGCCUAGAGUGAAACCACCACAGGGACUGAACCUGUUUCAGGCUUGAGUAUCUCCAGGCAGUGAAACCACCCACUACAGAAUUUCUUUAUGAAAGAUUGAUUCCAGUUUAUGUUAAAAAACUGCUUAUUGCAAACCUUUAUACUGCACAUUGGGACUUCUUUCAAAAUACGCUGGAGAGCUCUGAAUCCACGUGUGAUUUUACCCUCCUCAUUUUCUCCCUCAUUUCUAGACCUGCUACCUGAAGUAUGUGAAAAUCUUUUUUUCCUUUAUUUUAUUAAAUGGGAAAAUGGCUGACAAAAAACAGGGAUUCAUCUCCAUGAAACUAAUUUUAAGACCAUCUGCUGUCAAAAAUUUAUUUGGUGAGACAGAGUCUCUAAAGGUGGGAAGCUUCACCUGCCACUGAGGACACUGAGGAAGCUGGUGUGAUCCUGAGCCAUGGAGCCUUGCAGAGAGACGAGGUAUGUUAUGUCAGCCUGACAUCAUUCUACAUGCACAUGGCAUUAGCGACUCCAGAACACGGGCAAAGGAAGCUCACGUCUGCCUGGAAAAUCCUAAUUACUGAAGGUGUCCCCUCUGCUGCGUGACCUGAAAGGUCUGAAUUGUCACUGAGCUCAGUCAGCCCUGCGUGAUUUUUGCCAUUCUAAUAAUUUGAGACUGCAGAGUUCAGGAUCCAGCAGGUCCAUAAGGGGCUGGAGCGCCAUUUGCUGGCAGAAACAAGGGCAGAGCAAAGGCAGAGAGGUUGGGGAUGAGGAAGGAAUGGCGGAAAAAAGCACCUUGACCAGGUCUUCCCUCUCUUCACAGCAGUGAGAUGCUGGAGGCCACACUGCAGCCCAAUGGAAAAGGAAAUUUGGAGGUUUGGGAAUAGUGUUUAUACCUGAACAGAAGGAUUUAACGUUUCCAUUGGGUGAAAUUCCUUGGAACUGCUUUGUUUGAAAGCAUUCAAAUGUAUCUGAGGGCCUCAUCACAGACGUAAGGAAUAUUUGACCUUUUGGCAAUCUCUGGAAGAUGGCCUUGUCAAAGUUUAUACCUCAUGGAACAUCAGUUUCUUCAGCUGGAAUGUUUUGAACCCAUUGGAACACUUUGGUGCUUCAGUGUGUGUCGGUGUCAGCAAGAAAGCAAAACAGGCAUUGAAGCAUGUUUUUGGUGAGAUGUGUUGCCCACUUCAGUUUGCUUAUGGCCAUUGACAUCUGUCUUCUUCUGCACAUCUGGAUUUAAGAACAGCCUUAAUAAGAAAAGUGGAAUUGAUUUGGAAUUUGAAACAUCAGUCUUCCUAUGCAUGUUCAUCAGGUAUAACCAAUGGAAAUAGAAAUGCAAAGCAGACAUUUUUGCCAACUCAAAUUCUAAAGUAGGUCAGAGUCCUGUAGGGUGUACAUAUUUUAGUCUCCCUCAACCUCUCCCUUCCACCCCCCCUUGAACCUUUUAGAACCAACUUAGCUAUGGUAAAAUCUUGUUAAGAAACAAAUAAUAGGAAAAACUUCAGCUAGAUAUUAAAUCAGUGAUAUUUUACAAAAAUGAGCCCUUUUUUUCCAUUCAGUGCUGUUGGAAUUGCUGCUUUUACAACAUCUGUAUAGACACAGGACUUCCAGAUCUACUUAAGUAAACACUUUGCUUUUUUUAUUUCCACUAUACAUGUAAGGGGAUAAAUAGGUUACUAUUUGUGAGAUUCAUGAAAAGCUUCAGUUUAGAAGGCUCUUUUGUAUUAGAUGUCUUAAUCCAAUUUUCUUUAUUGGAUUGGUAAAUGAAAAUAAAUUCCCUUGAGCUCAAAUAAUAAAGGACUAAAAUAAACCUGGUGCACACACAACUCAAACUAAUAAUAAAGAACAAGCAGCAUCAGUUUUAAAAACUGAUUUGUCCUGAGCAGUGUUUCCAGGGGCCUGGAGUUCUGUCUGCUACACAGCUGCUGCCAGAGAGAUCUGAACUUGAAGAUGCUGUGUGGAAAUUUCCAAUCUCUUCAGUUUUACUUUAUUUUUGCUUGUUUGAGAUGUUCUCUCCCUUGCAGAAUUUUGAUUCCCCUGAGAUGUUCUUGAGAUGUGGAUCUAUCUCAUUCCUGGAAUGUGUCAAUAUCUUAAUAUGUCUUUCAAAACACUCUAGUUAUAGGUGGUGGUAGGUUUUGUUCGUUUGUUUUUUUUCCUUACAAAUUAGUUUUUUUCUUCUGGGACUUUAAGUUUCCUUGUUUUAA
Pipra filicauda (Wire-tailed manakin) is the source of this 2201-nucleotide long non-coding RNA. RefSeq lists it as uncharacterized. The transcript is spliced from 3 exons. Lineage: Eukaryota; Metazoa; Chordata; Aves; Passeriformes; Pipridae. The record is from RefSeq and is a predicted model, not a curated record.